GCAUGGCUCUAGUGUGAUGCACGGUUUCAAUUAGUAUGACCUGAUAAGCUGAAAGCUGUGGUGUAUGCUCAGUCAAGCUAAGCCAAGCUUCUAGAGGGAUUCUGUUGUUGUUUCACUUUAAGAAGCUGCUGCCUGCCUCUGGGAGCCAUCUGUUAAUAAAGAACCUGUUAGCUUGUCCAGUUUGUGUAUGAUCCAUGGACUUAACAGUGGUGACGAAGGUGGGAUUCUCCUGGGAUGGCAGUACUGCUGUUUUCUGCACUAGAAAAACCCACAAGUUAGUAGCUGUUGUUGGUUAUUUAGGCCCAGAGGCCUUGCAGAGGACUAGGCCUGACAAGACCUUUUUGCAGACAGUUAAGGGAAGGGCCCCUUGCAGGCCUUGAAGGUAGACGUGUGAGGUGACCUGUUAACAGCCUCAGGAAAUAAAUAGAUGUGGGUUCCCAAAGAGAAAAUAUGGACCAUUUUGAUGAUUCUGUGGAGGACUGGGCCACAUAUGUUGAGCACCUGGAGCAAUAUUUUGUACUCCGUGAUAUUCCAGAGGAAAAGAAGGUGCCAGCAUUAUUAAACUACAUGGGAGGUCAAACAUACCACGUCCUUCGCAGUUUGAAAUAUCCAGAUAAGCCAUGCUCUAAGUCCUUUGCUGAACUGGUGAAGUUGCUACAAGACCAUUUUUCACCUAAGCCCUUGGAGAUUGCCGCAAAUUUUCGCUUUCACAAACGGAAUCAACAGGAAGUUAACCCCCCACUCCCCAUAAGACUCAUUAUCCCCAGUUUCUUUAUCUGUGUUUAGCUGUGGGAAUGGAACUCCAGUGGAGAAUGGAAUGGAAUGGAACUCCAGUGGAUAACAAGAGGCUGGAAGGUGAUGAAGGAAGAUCUGUACAAGCUGCAUGAAUAGUGGCUGCUAGGACAAUUAUAAUGUGUAGAUUCUAAAAAUGCAAUUGGACAGAGGAUCGAGCAAUAGAGGGGAGGUGAAUGCGCGAGUGUGUGAAUUGCUGACAACACUUUUGACUGAAGUGGAAUGCAGACAAUGGAGGACAGCAAAGCCCUUUCAUGAUUACAGAUGCCUGGAAGUGGUUUUGCAUUCGUCUCGCAUGCAAGCGUAAUAAAAAAAAUCAGCACUGCAAAUAUUUGAUUCCUCAUAAUGACCUGAAAACUUCAGGCUGGAAAUUCCAGGAAGAAAACUUCAUUGGUGGCCACCAAAGGACAUGGGUUUUUUGGAGCAUGACUGAAAAUGGUUUGAGAGUUUCUUCCUCCUGCUUACCUGGAAAAAAUGGUUUCCCACAAGAAUAGUUCCUUUCCCCGCUUUUUUGUUUAAGCUCUAAAGCACUAUGUACAUUUGUUUAUUUAAAAGAGCUGUAGGCUGUCUUUCUGCCAAAUGACAUUCAAGGCGGCUUAACAACAUUCUAUAAAACAAACACCAUAAAAACAAAUAGAAUAAAAACAUGCCAUAAUACAAAACCAGUGGAUGUUUAUAAAUUAACUUAUCUUCCAAACCAGUUGGCAGAUGAGCAAAAGCAAACAACAGAAUGAAUUAAAUUGCACCACCAGAUUCAGCUUACAAAAGCCAACUUUUGGAACAGUUGGGACAACUGUUGGAAAGCCAACAGGACCAAAGUGGCAUAUAAAGGCAUCAAGUGGUUCUCACUUUGGCCUUCCAUAAGUGGGGUACAGCCACAGAAAAGCCCCUCUUUUUGGUCAUCACAGGGGAGGUGAGCAGGUCUUGCAGCUGUGAGCAGGGAUUGUCCCCAUUGCUAAAGAGGAGGGUUGUUCUCACGACCACAGAUUCCUGAGUAGGAGGGGGUUAACCCAGGAAUCUUUGGUUGUCUGGGGCAGCAGGAGUCCUCCUGACCCAGCAGUUCUGAACCUGGGAGACCAGAUCAUCUACACAGGUUUAAAGUGUGGAAGGACAAGAAAAUACUUGUCCUACUUUUGGUUUUGGUCAUUUGUGCAGCCGGUAUGAUUUAAAUUGUUCCAGGGCGGCUGAUGGCUAUGCUCAUCAUAGAGUUUUGUGGAAAGCAGGACCAGGGAGAGGAGAGCGGUUGGUGUACUGAGGGCUGCCUCUCCACUGCUCCUGCAAGGAAUUGUGGGAUAUGUGGAAGCCCCAGCUCCCUAUUUCAACAAUGGAGAAUGCCACUGUGAUGUUUGUGUGGGUGCAUGAGCUGCAGAGCCCAAUGGAGGCUCUGUUCAUCUGUGGGGCACAAAGUAGGAGCAUGCCUUCCCACCAGCCCACCUCUAUAUGGUCGUGUGAAAGAGCCCAGGGUCUGCCCUGGUUUGCAUUUAGACGGGUGGCUAGCUACAUGUGAGUGCUGUCUGUUGUGAGAGAUUCUCCUCAGAGGGAAUGGGGCUGUAGCUCAGUGGAAGAGCAUCUGCUUUGAAUGCAGAAGAUCCCAGGUUCAACCCCCAGCAUCUCCAGGAUGGGAAAAACUCCUGCCUAAAACCUUGGAAAGCUGCUGCUAGUCAGUGUAGACAAUGCUGAGCCAGAUGGACCAAUGAUCUAACUCAGAAAAAGGCAAAUAAUGCCUAGACAUGGGGACAUGGAAGAGGCCUCCCUUGAUCAUCUCAGCUACCAGGCACAUUCAUAGGGGAGUAGGUGGUCCUUCAGGUUUGCUGGUCCCAAACUGUUUAGGGCUUCCAAAGGAAGAAGCUUUAGGAUCAUAAGAACAUAGGAACCUGCCUUAUACAGAGUCAGACCAUUGGUCCAUCUAGCUCUGUAUUUUCUACACAGACUGACAGCAGCUUCUCCAAAGUUGCAGGCAGGAUCUCUCUCAGUCCUGUCUUGGAGAUGCCAGAGAGGGAACUUGGAACCUUCUGCAUGUAAGCAUGCAGAUGCUGUUCCCAGAACGGUCCAGUCCCCUAAGAAGAAUAUAUUAGUGUUCACACAUGUUGUCUCCCAUUCAAAUCCAAAUUAGGGUGGACCCUGCUUAGCAAAGGGGACAAUACAUACUUGCUACCAGAAGACCAGCUCCCCUCCAGCUUUAAACUUUUAGAAGACAGUGUAGAUCCAAUUAGAGCUUCAGAGGGUAUUAUCUGUAGGGAGCACUUUUUGGUGCUCUUCUACGACCUUUUUCAGUGGAAGAGUAAAUAUGUGAUUACAUUUCUUCCACUGAAAUAAAUGAGACUUUAUUAAUUGUUCAACUUUAAUUGGACCCAUUUUGUUAAGUGCUGACUUUUACUCUGACUUCUAAGACAGCCAAAAAAAUUAUCAGUGACAAGGAGAUGGUUGUAUUCUUUGCUAGCUGAGAAUACAACAGAACUCAGAUAGCAACCCCUGCUAGCUGAGCAAAAGGGCACCUUUUUAAAGUGGUGAUUUUCUUUAUUUAGCAGUGGGAGAGCAACUGGCCCUAUCCAUCCCCAGCACACAGCAUCCCUCCAGUAGCUGUUGCUGGUGUGUAUCUUAUGUUUCUUUUUCAGAUUGUGAACCCUUCGGGGACAGGGGGAACCAUUUUAUUCAUUUAUUUAUAUCUAUGGAAACCGCUUUGGGAACUUUUGUUGAAAAGCAGUAUAUAAAUAUUUGUCAUAUUCAUAUUCGUGUAAAGCAGACAUUUUACUCAAGGUUUCACACACAGUCCCCACAUGAUUAUCUUGGUCCAGUGUAUAUGCAAAACCACUCCCCCCCCCCUGGAAAAUUUGACUGUCACAGCUAAAUGUUAGAAAUGACAACCUCCCUUUUAACCUGAAAUUACCAGGAAUUAUCUGUAUGAAAGGGAAGUGUUGGCAGUUCUAAGGAGCUCCUAAAGCAAUCAUCGCUAAUAUGCAGCUGACUGGAGUGAAGACAUACAUUUUAAAGACAAAGAUCAUCCUCUUUAGAGCUUGCAAGGCUCUUCUUAGUAUGCAGAUAGUGUUACUAAAACUUCAAGCUGUGUAUUAUGGAUCAGCCCUUUAAGCUUUUUAAUUUC
Long non-coding RNA from Hemicordylus capensis (graceful crag lizard), 3892 nucleotides. RefSeq lists it as uncharacterized. NCBI's taxonomy places the organism in Eukaryota, Metazoa, Chordata, Lepidosauria, Squamata, Cordylidae. The record is from RefSeq and is a predicted model, not a curated record. The transcript is spliced from 5 exons.